Molecule: non-coding RNA, 29 nt
Filed under: Rattus norvegicus (Norway rat)
Lineage: Eukaryota; Metazoa; Chordata; Mammalia; Rodentia; Muridae
Source: RNAcentral
UUUACUUCCGUAGCACAGAUUCCAUGGUC